GUGGGGAAUAUUGGACAAUGGGCGAAAGCCUGAUCCAGCCAUGCCGCGUGUGUGAAGAAGGUCUUCGGAUUGUAAAGCACUUUAAGUUGGGAGGAAGGGCAGUAAGUUAAUACCUUGCUGUUUUGACGUUACCGACAGAAUAAGCACCGGCUAACUUCGUGCCAGCAGCCGCGGUAAUACGAAGGGUGCAAGCGUUAAUCGGAAUUACUGGGCGUAAAGCGCGCGUAGGUGGUUCAGCAAGUUGGAGGUGAAAUCCCCGGGCUCAACCUGGGAACUGCCUCCAAAACUACUGGGCUAGAGUACGGUAGAGGGUAGUGGAAUUUCCUGUGUAGCGGUGAAAUGCGUAGAUAUAGGAAGGAACACCAGUGGCGAAGGCGACUACCUGGACUGAUACUGACACUGAGGUGCGAAAGCGUGGGGAGCAAACAGGAUUAGAUACCCGAGUAGUCC
RNAcentral lists this ribosomal RNA (450 nucleotides) under uncultured bacterium. RNAcentral's name for it is "partial 16S ribosomal RNA". It matches the Rfam family "Bacterial small subunit ribosomal RNA", at positions 354 to 796 of the family's 1533-position model. The record is from RNAcentral.